Long non-coding RNA from Herpailurus yagouaroundi (jaguarundi), 4635 nucleotides. RefSeq lists it as uncharacterized. NCBI's taxonomy places the organism in Eukaryota, Metazoa, Chordata, Mammalia, Carnivora, Felidae. The record is from RefSeq and is a predicted model, not a curated record. The transcript is spliced from 2 exons.
UAGCUAACACCCCAACCAAUUCUUAUGGACGCGAACGGUUGAGAAAUCCUGCUGUAGAACGUGGAUUUUGCAGCGUCACGGACCUGGGUUCAAAGCUCAGCUCUGCCACGAAAUAGCUGUGUGUGUGUGGUCUGGAACUAAUUCCUUAACCUUUGUGAGACGGUUUCCUCAUCUAUAAGAAGCGGGUUACUAUGCCGGCCUCUUGAGGAUUAAAUCAAACUGUGGGAAAAUCGAUACACAACACCCGGCAUCGGGGAACCUCUCCAGGGGGGCACACCCAGCCACGUGGUAAAGGGGGGGGGGUGCACAAAUUAAAUGCCUUCCCUGGGAGGGAAGAGCUGGGCGUACACCCAGCAUUACUCAUCCAUGGCAAACGCCGAACUGUUGUAACACAUUUCUGACCCGCGUUUCCUGUAGGAUGAGCUCCAUGAGCUUUCCAAGUGACCAGAUCCGGUUCCUGUCCUCAGGUGUGAGCCGUCCCAAGUUGGAGUCAGAUGGGGAAACUGAGGCAUGGAGAAGCCAUGUUAUGUGGUCCCACAACCAGGAAGUGGUGGAACAGGAUUCAAGUCGAGGCAGCCAGACACUAGAGAGAGCUCUGCUCUCGACCUCUGCCCUGCUUGUGAAUCCUGACCUUCCCCGCUACCUUGUAUAGUGAAGCUGGGCCGUCCUUUCCAUUACCAGGUGGAACUCUUGGCCAGAGGCAUACAGUCACAGGUGGUUGAGGAUCACCUCUCUAACCCCUGGCCCCGUCCCCUCUUCCCCAAGGCAGCCUUCCCACCCUCAACAGCUCUAGCUUCUGGAACCCCAGGUUUGUUCAUUCCCACACCCCAGAGUCAGUCCCAGCUCUUGAAAAGCCAAGGUAGUCUGGUCUUAAAGCGAGUGACCUGAUUGGGAGGGUGGCCCAAGCCUCCUGGAGUCCAGGGGGGAGGAGGUUUGCAACCCACAGCCACGGUUUACUACAUUUUUCUCAGCCACUCUGAGCAAUGCUUCUCACCUGUGGGCCAGACUUUGCUCCCCCGCUUGGCAAAGUGGAGACCCAAAGAGUAGUGUCAGACCAGGUACGGAUCUGGCCGACCCAGAUGGCCCCUUCCUCUGCAAGCCGGUAGGACUUAGGAGAGGCAGUGCACGCCCCCAGAGCUCCCAACAGGUGCUCCCCCAGCCCCUGCCACAGUGCUUCUAGGGACAGAGCACUGGCUACCGCAGAAGGCAGCUGACCCACUUUGAGUGACACCUUGACCCAAUGCUUUCAUUGUAAACUUUUCCAUGCUUCCUUCCCCAGCUCUGUGGAGACAAUACUCUGGGCUGAGGUCAUCUUCAAGGCUUGCAAAAUCCUUGAGAUGGAAGGUGCCUAAUACAUUGUUGAAAAUAACAGAUCUUAUCAAGGGUGAAGAAAGCAAGAAACGGAAAAGCGGCCAAUUCUAAUGCCAGGAUUGGGAUCCCGGGGGGAAGGAAGGGGCUGGAAUCCCUGCUGCUGGGGACCAGGGUGGGCAUGCGCAGCGUACCCAUGCCACCGUUUACCGAGCACUGGGUGCCAGCCCCAGAGUUCUCUUGAACCCUCACAAUCCUGUGAAAAAGGGUGAUGCCGCAGAGAAGGAAACUGAGGCACAGAGGGGUGUAACAUGCCCAAGGUGGCCCAGCUUGCAAGCAGCAGAGAUGGGAUUUGAAUCCAGGCCUGUGUAUUUUGGAGCCCUGGAUGUGUAAGACUCCGUCUCAGGAACCCAGGACCCAGCUGACCCCUCCUCCAGGGAAAACCUGGAUGGCAUAAAAAGGUUUUGUUGUGUUUGAAAUGUUAAAGAAGAAAAGAACAAAAAGAAAAGAAAGGAAAAGAAAAGAAAGAAAAGAAAAGAAAAAAAGAAAAGAAAAGGAAGAAAAGGAAAGAAAAGGAAAAAAGAAAGAAAAGAACUUGGUAAAUUUUAAAAGACAACUCUCCUUCCCUCAAGUAACUGAGAUCUCAUGAGAGGAAGCCAAGACCACAUCCUAACUGACUCCGACUCUGAGCUCCCCCAAGUAGGGUCUAAGUCAGGGUCAAGUUUGUAUCCGGGUGGUACUGGAAACAGAGCCUGGCACAUUGUCAGGAGCCCUCAGAUGAAUAAUGAAUGAGGGAAGGAGGCAGGGAGGGAGGAGGGAGAGGGGAAGGAGGAGGCAGAGGGGAGGGGGGAGGGGUCAGGAAAUAGGAACAGGGCAGAAGCUCCAAGCAGGGAGGAGUGCUGCCUGCAUCCAGGAGGAUAAAGCCACGCGCCUGCCACGCUCAGGCUGCACCCCCCCAUGGCCGCACAGCCACUGCCACAGCGCCCCCUGCCCCCUGCUUGUGUCGACGUCACUAGAAAAGGGAUGAGGGUGAAAAAAAGGGAAGCUUGGCCUCAGGAGAGCUUUUCAGGGAUUCGGGCUUGGGGAGGCCGCAAGAUCUUCUUCCUCAGGGAGAAGGCCAGGUCAGCUGAUGGCUCCCCAGGGUUAAGUGUUCCCCCCCAAAGAGGAAGGGGGAGGGGCAGAAAGAGGGCGUGGCAGAGGGGAAAAGGGAGCGAGAGCCAGGAAGAAGGAGGGAAGGAGGGAGAGGAGAAGGGGCUGACGGGCGGGGGAGGCGCCGGCAGGCAGCGUACCCUCUGCCCCGUCCUGUCCUGUCUCGGGCGGUGGCACACCCUCACCGGAGCUGAGCACCGACCUUCAGAAAGGCCGCCAGGCACAGCGGCCUCCGGCCUCCAUGUCCUAUGCUGCCCUUCCCAUUGGUGGAUGGUGGGAGGUCCAGAGGGUCCUGAGGAGGAGCUGGCUGGUGGCAGGGGGCGUGUGGUGGGGUGGGGGCGCAGUGACUGUUGGCUAACCCUCUGGUGCCUAUGGUGACCUUUGCUUGUAGGUGACCGGAGGGCGAGGGUGCUGCUCCCAGUCCUCAGGACCCCAGCUGUGCAUCCUCUGUGCUGGCCGCUGGCCGCCCACAUCUCCCCGGGAGGCCGGUGGUGCUGCUCAGGCGGGCGGGCCUGGGUUCAAGUCCUGACAAACCUGCUCACUUGCACACGCUCCAUUAGGGUCAUCUAAGGAGCUUUUGAAAAACUACUGAUGCCUGUCCCCACCGCCAGGUCUGAGCGAACUGAUCUGAGCUGGAGCCAGGCAUUGGCAUGUCCUACGUGCUCCCGGCGGCCUCACCAGCCUGCCCGGCCACUGUGCUCCAGCCUGCCUCCUCCUUGCUCAUUCUCAAGUACGCUCCCUUCAGGGCCUUUGCUGGAAUGCUCUGUCCUUGGGGGUCCACCUUCCCCGCCCCCCCUCAAGUCACGGCUGCCCCUGAUCUUGUCAGAGAGCCCCCACCCCCGGCUGUCACACCUGUCCUGACCCUGCUCAAUUUUGUCCUAUCACACUUCUGACCCCUGGAUGUACCAUGUGUGUAUCUGGGUGACAUCUUUCUAAGCUCUUUGACAGCAGGGACAUGGCGGUUCUUUCACUGCCCCAUCCUCAGGGCCCAACAUAGCGCCUGGCACUCAAUGAGCACUUGACAAGAAGGUGUAUGGAGACACCUUCUCCGCCAGCAGGCCUGAGCCCCUGGAAGGUGAGGGCACCUCAUGCACCUCGGCAUCCUGGGCCCAGCGACCGAUUCAUGGUGUGAGGAUUUGCUCCGGAGACAGAAGGGCUCAUGAGUGCUGGGAGGCCUCAAGAUGGAAGCAGGGGUCCAAAGGGAUGGAGGUGGAAAGAUGGGCCACAAGGGCGCUGCUUCAAGGAAGACAAGGAGGUCUGGCGACGGCGCUGACCCUCAGCGGGUCCAAGCAGCCGAGCAGGGCGAAGGGAGUGGCGGCCUGGGGGACUGGACCAGACUGGAGGGGCAGGGCGACUGGGAGCCCACAGGAAGGGAAGGGUGGGGCUGCGGAGAGCCAGCCCCUGGUCCCACCCCACCCCUGCAGCCAUCCACAACUAGGACCUUUUGUCAGGCAGCUGCAAACUACAAACGCCCGGCAGAGCGGGCAUGGUGAAAUGAGAGGUCAGUCGAGACCCCGGGAUCCCUGACCUACUCCAGGAGCAGAUGGCGCAGCGGUACCAGGGGGGAUAUGACUCGCUAAGGGGUGCUUUUGCCCAGGGCUCCAGUGAAACGGGCAAGCUCCUGAGCCCUAAGGUAUAAGGACAUGAUGGCGGGGGUGUCCAGGAAACACGUGCCUGUGUUGUUUAGCCUGGUCGCUAGAGAGCCAGGUGAUGGCGCCUGACGCCCUCCGCCCCUACAGCUCAUAACCAGACUCACCGGGCCCUCCAGCUGCCUUCUCCGGAAGCACUUCUGCACUGAAAGGUUUGGAGCGCUAACUACAUACGAAGCCUCGUGCGAACCUGUCGCUGGGGACCCCAGGCUUUCUUGGGCAGCUCAGAGUGCCUUGAUGCCUCCCCCCCACCACCAUAGACCUCCAACAUACCCCCCCACCCAUGUGAGCCUCCACAACAGACAGAACAGCUGUCCCCCCCAGGAACUCUUAAAGGGGCAGGCCCCUCUGUGAACUGGUGGCCAUCGCUGCCUGCCCACAACGGUGGUCUCGCGAGGUGCUCCAGCAAAGCAGCGGCAGCCUGGAGUCCUGCCUUGUGUUGGCUCCCCUGGCUCCGAGGGCCCCGCACUGUCCACACCUCCUUCUCUCUGCUCCUUUCCCUCCUUGAAGACCAAUGGCUGGUAUGGCC